This 383-nucleotide ribosomal RNA is filed under the name Meloidogyne partityla. RNAcentral's name for it is "partial 16S ribosomal RNA". The record is from RNAcentral. Lineage: Eukaryota; Metazoa; Nematoda; Chromadorea; Rhabditida; Meloidogynidae.
UUUUUAUUAAUAUUAUUAAUUUUUAUUGUUGAAAGAAUUAAAAUUAAUUUGUUGUUAAUAAAAAUUAAAAUUUAUAAUAUUUUUUUUUUAUUUUUUAGUUUUAUAUAAAAAAAAUAGAGUUGAUAUAAAUAGAAAUUUUGUUAUAAAUUAUAAUAGUUUAUUAAAUAAAUUUUUAUAAUGGGUUAAUUAUUUUUUUUAUUUUUUUAUAAAAAAAUAAAAUUUAAUUAUUAUUAUUUUAUAUAAAAUAAUAAUUUUUAUUAAUAUAAUAAUUGAAUUAAAAUUGAUGUUAAAUAUUUUUUAAAUUUUUUGGAAAUUUAAUUUUUAAUUUUUUAUGUCUGCUCAGUGAUAUUAAAUAGCACUUUUAGCGUGAUUGGUCAAAGGUA